GCCAGUAUGGUGCAGUGGUUUGAGUGUUGGACUAGGAUUCUGGGGGACCAGGGUUUGAAUCCCUGCUUGGUCA
Molecule: non-coding RNA, 73 nt
Organism: Phrynosoma platyrhinos (Desert horned lizard)
Lineage: Eukaryota; Metazoa; Chordata; Lepidosauria; Squamata; Phrynosomatidae
Source: the annotation of a GenBank genome assembly